RNAcentral lists this ribosomal RNA (915 nucleotides) under uncultured archaeon. RNAcentral describes it as "bacterial SSU rRNA". It matches the Rfam family "Archaeal small subunit ribosomal RNA", at positions 1 to 922 of the family's 1478-position model. The record is from RNAcentral.
UUCCGGUUGAUCCCGCCGGAGGUUACUGCUAUCGAGGUUCGACUAAGCCAUGCGAGUCGAAUGUAGCAAUACAUGGCGAACUGCUCAGUAACACGUGGACAACCUGCCCUUAGGACGGGGAUAAACCCGGGAAACUGGGUAUAAUACCCGAUAGGUCUCGAUUGCUGGAAUGCAUCGAGAUUUAAAGCUCCGGCGCCUAAGGAUGGGUCUGCGGCCUAUCAGGUAGUAGUGGGUGUAGCGUACCUACUAGCCUACGACGGGUACGGGUUGUGAGAGCAAGAGCCCGGAGAUGGAUUCUGAGACACGAAUCCAGGCCCUACGGGGUGCAGCAGGCGCGAAAACUUUACAAUGCUGGCAACAGCGAUAAGGGAACCUCGAGUGCCAGGUUACAAAUCUGGCUGUCGAGAUGCCUAAAAAGCAUUUCAUAGCAAGGGCCGGGCAAGACCGGUGCCAGCCGCCGCGGUAACACCGGCGGCUCGAGUGGUAACCGUUAUUAUUGGGUCUAAAGGGUCUGUAGCCGGCCGGAUAAGUCUCUUGAGAAAUCUGGCAGCUUAACUGUCAGGCUUUCAGGAGAUACUGUCUGGCUCGAGGCCGGGAGAGGUGAGAGGUACUUCAGGGGUAGGGGUGAAAUCUUGUAAUCCUUGAAGGACCACCAGUGGCGAAGGCGUCUCACCAGAACGGACCUGACGGCAAGGGACGAAAGCUAGGGGCACGAACCGGAUUAGAUACCCGGGUAGUCCUAGCCGUAAACGAUACUCGCUAGGUGUCGGCCACGGUGCGACCGUUGUCGGUGCCGUAGGGAGGCCGUGAAGCGAGCCACCUGGGAAGUACGGCCGCAAGGCUGAAACUUAAAGGAAUUGGCGGGGGAGCACCACAACGGGUGGAGCUUGCGGUUUAAUUGGAUUCAACGCCAGG